This 311-nucleotide ribosomal RNA is filed under the name uncultured eukaryote. RNAcentral's name for it is "partial 18S ribosomal RNA". It matches the Rfam family "Eukaryotic small subunit ribosomal RNA", at positions 1470 to 1796 of the family's 1831-position model. The record is from RNAcentral.
CCCCUAGACGUUCUGGGCUGCACGCGCGCUACAAUAAUACGCACAGCGAGUAUCACCGAGCUCGAAAGGGCAAGGUAAACAAUAGAAAAGGUACUGUAAUGGUUAUAGAUCCUUGUAAUUAUUGAUCUUCAACGAGGAAUUCCUAGUAAGUAUGUGUCAUCAUCACACACUGAUUACGUCCCUGCCCUUUGUACACACCGCCCGUCGCUCCUACCGAUUGGGUGAGCCGAUGAAACUCUCGGAUGUAGGCUAUUCAUAGCCCGCAGAAGAGAUUUGAAUCGUAGCGCUUAGAGGAAGGAGAAGUCGUAACA